This 372-nucleotide ribosomal RNA is filed under the name Mastus procax. RNAcentral describes it as "eukaryotic LSU rRNA". It matches the Rfam family "Eukaryotic large subunit ribosomal RNA", at positions 1 to 364 of the family's 3401-position model. Lineage: Eukaryota; Metazoa; Mollusca; Gastropoda; Stylommatophora; Enidae. The record is from RNAcentral.
UCCGACCUCAGAUCGGACGAGAUUACCCGCUGAAUUUAAGCAUAUAACUAAGCGGAGGAAAAGAAACUAACAAGGAUUUCCCCAGUAACGGCGAGUGAAGCGGGAAGAGCCCAGCACCGAAUCCCUCAGUGUCACGCUGACGGGAACUGUGGUGUGAGGGACGCCACCAGUCGCACCAGAGGGUACCGAAGUCCUCCUGAUCGGGGCUUCACCCAGAGCGGGUGUAAGGCCUUUGCUGGUACCUCUCUGUGCGGCCGCGAGCGUCUCAGGAGUCGGGUUGUUUGGGAAUGCAGCCCAAAGCGGGUGGUAAACUCCACCUAAGGCUAAAUACUGGCACGAGUCCGAUAGCGGGCAAGUACCGUGAGGGAAAGU